RNAcentral lists this ribosomal RNA (782 nucleotides) under Cosmospora sp. G.J.S. 82-275. RNAcentral describes it as "eukaryotic LSU rRNA". It matches the Rfam family "Eukaryotic large subunit ribosomal RNA", at positions 98 to 912 of the family's 3401-position model. The record is from RNAcentral. Lineage: Eukaryota; Fungi; Ascomycota; Sordariomycetes; Hypocreales; Nectriaceae.
GCGGCAACAGCUCAAAUUUGAAAUCUGGCCCUCGGGUCCGAGUUGUAAUUUGUAGAGGAUGCUUUUGGUGCGGUGCCUUCCGAGUUCCCUGGAACGGGACGCCAUAGAGGGUGAGAGCCCCGUCUGGUUGGACACCAAGCCUCUGUAAAGCUCCUUCGACGAGUCGAGUAGUUUGGGAAUGCUGCUCUAAAUGGGAGGUAUAUGUCUUCUAAAGCUAAAUACCGGCCAGAGACCGAUAGCGCACAAGUAGAGUGAUCGAAAGAUGAAAAGCACUUUGAAAAGAGGGUUAAAUAGUACGUGAAAUUGUUGAAAGGGAAGCGCUUAUGACCAGACUUGAGCCCGGUUAAUCAUCCAGCCUUCUGGCUGGUGCACUUGGCCGGCUCAGGCCAGCAUCAGUUCGGCGCGGGGGAUAAAGGUUUCGGGAAUGUGGCUCCUCCGGGAGUGUUAUAGCCCGUUGCGUAAUACCCUGUGCUGGACUGAGGUUCGCGCAUCUGCAAGGAUGCUGGCGUAAUGGUCAUCAGCGACCCGUCUUGAAACACGGACCAAGGAGUCGUCUUCGUAUGCGAGUGUUCGGGUGUCAAACCCCUACGCGUAAUGAAAGUGAACGCAGGUGAGAGCUUCGGCGCAUCAUCGACCGAUCCUGAUGUUCUCGGAUGGAUUUGAGUAAGAGCAUACGGGGCCGGACCCGAAAGAAGGUGAACUAUGCCUGUAUAGGGUGAAGCCAGAGGAAACUCUGGUGGAGGCUCGCAGCGGUUCUGACGUGCAAAUCGAUCGUCAAAUAU